AGGUGCUCGCAUGGCUGUCGUCAGCUCGUGUUCGUGAGAUGUUGGGUAAGUCCCGCAACGAGCGCAACCCUCGUCCUUAGUUGCCAUCAUUUAGUUGGGCACUUUAAGGAAACUGCCGGUGAUAAGCCGGAGGAAGGUGGGGAUGACGUCAAGUCCUCAUGGCCCUUACAGGCUGGGCUACACACGUGCUACAAUGGCAUCUACAGUGAGCAGCGAUCCCGCGAGGGUUAGCUAAUCUCCAAAAGAUGUCUCAGUUCGGAUUGUUCUCUGCAACUCGAGAGCAUGAAGGCGGAAUCGCUAGUAAUCGCGGAUCAGCAUGCCGCGGUG
This 327-nucleotide ribosomal RNA is filed under the name unidentified marine bacterioplankton. RNAcentral describes it as "bacterial SSU rRNA". It matches the Rfam family "Bacterial small subunit ribosomal RNA", at positions 1036 to 1364 of the family's 1533-position model. The record is from RNAcentral.